AUGGCCAUUGCUGGAUCCAGGUGCAUGAUGCUCGACCGCUUUGUCUUCCACAGGGGUGAUGAGGAAGAGGGCAGUCCUUUCCUAGACGGAUCCGUGGCGCCUUUGAGGGCAAGUUCGCACACCUCUCUUUGCAAGAAGUUCGGCAUCCUUUUCCUCCUUGCCGAGCCCCCGGCCAUCUCCCGCUUCUACAUGCGGUGGCCUGAUGGUAUAAAGUCGGAGGAUGCCAAGGGAACCGAGCUUGUGGCCGCCCACUGUGAUCUGGUUCUCUUCAGGCUAACUUCUUUUGGAAGAUUGGGCAUGGACGGUUGCUUACCGAUCAUACAAGACUACUUUAUCUGUGUAGCGUCGUGUGAGACUAAGCCGUCCCUGCAGCUCAAACGGCUCCUUGUCUGCAACAAGCCAAUGAUCUUCCCUUUUGGAGAGGGAGAGGAGAAGGCUGUGGCUGAGCAACGUGUGUUCUUUCUGGACACUGUAGGACUCAUCCGAGGCCAUGGCGAAAGCGUUGAAGCGGAAUUUGCAGUGGCGCAGCUGGCUAUGGUCAGCGAAAUACCUGGCACGCUCAAGAUGGAAGCAGAAGUUUGUGUGUUCCGCUCACUUGUCUCUGGAAAUGAUGGUGAUGGCAAAUGGGAUGUGAGGAAGAUACCAAUCGACCAUAAGGAGGAUGAGCAUAAGGAGUUAUACUAUUGGUCAACUGAUGCUGUCAUCACAUUCAACUUUUGCAUUUGUUGGAUCAACUAUUACAGAGGUGGUAUGCUAGUUUAUGAUGUACUUGAAGAAAAGCCCCAGAUCUUAUACCUCUGA
This 801-nucleotide ribosomal RNA is filed under the name Triticum aestivum (bread wheat). RNAcentral describes it as "partial small subunit ribosomal RNA". Lineage: Eukaryota; Viridiplantae; Streptophyta; Magnoliopsida; Poales; Poaceae. The record is from RNAcentral.